This 315-nucleotide long non-coding RNA is filed under the name Brassica napus (rape). Its description in RNAcentral is "long non-coding RNA (BNAP_LNC008495)". Lineage: Eukaryota; Viridiplantae; Streptophyta; Magnoliopsida; Brassicales; Brassicaceae. The record is from RNAcentral.
AUAAAUUUUUAUACUAAUAUAUGAGUCUGUUGAAGUAUCUCUUACCUCGUAGUUUAUGCAGCUGAAGAAGCGCUUCCCAGGAUGAGUGUCGUGCUCCUCCUUCACCCGAACCUCGUCAAUGAUUCUCCCACCACAGGGACAUCUUCUAGGAAUCCCAUAUUCGGAAUCUGCGACGUAUCCCAACAUGUUGCAGUACUCCUGAUGCCUCUUUGUAUCUCUUAUCUCCUCUGCGGGAUCCAUCUGAACCAGUCAAGCAAACGGCUUACAACAAAAUCACAAAAUUAUAUCAUGAACGGAACCCAUAAUGGAACCCAC